This is a long non-coding RNA of Apis florea (little honeybee), 1082 nucleotides long. The record is from RefSeq and is a predicted model, not a curated record. Lineage: Eukaryota; Metazoa; Arthropoda; Insecta; Hymenoptera; Apidae.
AUAAAAAGAAAUUCCUUGCGAUCCUCUCUCGGAUGAUGGAUGCUGCGCUGUUAUCGGAAACGAUAUUUAAUUUCGAUCGUUAAAAAAUUCCGCUAGAUUCUAUGAUUCGUCUUCAACUUAUAUAUCCCAAGUUGUACGAUCUAUUGUUUAUCGGCUUAUAGUCGUUAAUAAAACUUGGUUGGUUCCGUUUCGCGUGUACUCUCGUUUCGCAAUAUAAUAAUAUAAGUAUCUCUCUCUCUCUCUCUCUCUCCCUCCCUCGUCCUCCCUUAUUAUUCUCUCUUCUUCUCUUUUUCUUCUUUUUUUUUCUUCGCAAUAAUAACCGCUCGCAAGAUAACACGCACUACUACGUUUGUCAAAUACAUCUAACUUUAUAUUUACGGUAGUAAUAAUAAUAAUAAUAAAAAUAAAAAUAAAAAUAAUAAUAAUAAUAAUAAAAAUAAUAAUAAUAAUAACAACAACAAUAAUAAUGACAAUAAUAAUAAUAAUAAUAAUAAUAAUAAUAAUAAUAAUAAUCUCAUAAAUAAUACACGUAGGCGGUAUAAUAUGUUAUUACGCACGGUCUGUCAGGUCGGCGAACUCGAAUAGGACAGGAAUUAGGAUGAAAUUCGAGUGGAUCCUCGAAACGUACGUGGAUCCGCGCUCCUGACACCGAGUUCACAUUAAUUAUAUUACGUUAUUAUCAUACGUAAGUACACGUAAUAUCUAGGAAUAGUACGGAUCUUAAUCUGUUUUUUAGGCCUCUACUCGACUACUCUACGCUCCUCCUCGUUCCGUAUUUUUUUCUUUUUCUUUUUUUUUUUUUUUUUUUUCUUUUUUUCUUCUUCUCUUUGGUCGUGUCACAUUUGUCCCUUAUCUUCCCACCAUGUGCGCCAUGUUCCUGUGAACAUUCGUGUUCAACAAAAUGGGGGAAAGGGAGGAAGGCGAGAAAUCUGGAUUACAAAAUGGCUCUUUCGUCACGGAGGAAAGGGAAGAAAUUGGACGAUGAAAUCGUCCCAAUUUCGUUCUUCGGUUUUCUCGUUUUCUCGGCUAUACAUUUCCUUCUCCGAUCGCUUAAGUAUACUUGGGUUCUUCGGGGAUCGGUU